Long non-coding RNA from Grus americana (Whooping crane), 726 nucleotides. RefSeq lists it as uncharacterized. The transcript has 3 exons. The record is from RefSeq and is a predicted model, not a curated record. Lineage: Eukaryota; Metazoa; Chordata; Aves; Gruiformes; Gruidae.
AUGCAGACGUGGCCACUCGUAUCUCUUUAAAGGACAUGAGUAUACCACAGUGAUGCCAGAAGUUCUCAGGCGUUAUUUAUCUGGGAAACGAUGUGUCUGAAAGGGAAAAUAAAAUAACUUUGACAAGCUGCCCAUGCCAAAUGUGAAGUGCUUUGCUGUCUUCUGGAAGCAAGUGGGGGUAAGCCUGAGGAUGUACGCCUUCCCUGGCCUGCUGGGACGCAGCUGGGCUGUCAAACCCAGCCUUUGCCUCUGUUAAAACAGGCCAGGAGCUCAAGAGCUCAAGAGACGAAAAGCAAGAGAUACCUGUUCCAUCACCCACAACAGCCCUUUUCCACUAGCAGCUUUCAAACAGCUAAUCAAAAAGCAAGCACAGACUGGUACAACGCUUGAAACAUGCCGUUGCCUUUGCACGUCACUGUCAUCCAUCCUUGCACGCUCCAAAGCCCACGGUCUGGUUUUCAGGAGCUGCAAUGUGCCUUGAAAAUCUAGGUUUUGGAUGGACAUAUCUGGAUGCCAGAUCCAAGUCAGCCUAUCCAGCUCAGCGGAAUGAAACUUAUGGGCAUCAUCAAGCUUUGCAUCAAUAGAAGCAGAAGACUGGCAACUCUUCAGAUGAGCCAACGUUUUCAAAGCAAGGGAUCUUCCAUCACUAAAUCAACACGACUCAGCCUGCUGCAGGAAGACAGAAAACAGGACAAGCACAGGCCAUCUAAAAAUAAAAUUGAGCCA